This 229-nucleotide unclassified non-coding RNA is filed under the name plant metagenome. RNAcentral describes it as "partial contains small subunit ribosomal RNA, internal transcribed spacer 1, and 5.8S ribosomal RNA". The record is from RNAcentral.
UCUCCGUAGGUGAACCUGCGGAGGGAUCAUUACAGAGUUCUCGCCCUCGCGGGUAGAUCUCCCACCCACCGUUAUCGUUACUGUGUUGCUUUGGCGGGCCGCCGGGCCCCGCUCGGCCGCCGGCUCCGGCUGGCGCGCGCCCGCCAGAGGCCCAGCAAACUCUGAAUGUUAGUGUCGUCUGAGUACUAUAUAAUAGUUAAAACUUUCAACAACGGAUCUCUAGGUUCUG